RNAcentral lists this ribosomal RNA (301 nucleotides) under uncultured bacterium. Its description in RNAcentral is "partial 16S ribosomal RNA". It matches the Rfam family "Bacterial small subunit ribosomal RNA", at positions 509 to 809 of the family's 1533-position model. The record is from RNAcentral.
CAGUAGCCGCGGUAAUACAGAGGGUGCGAGCGUUAAUCGGAUUUACUGGGCGUAAAGCGUGCGUAGGCGGCUUCUUAAGUCGGAUGUGAAAUCCCUGAGCUUAACUUAGGAAUUGCAUUCGAUACUGGGAAGCUAGAGUAUGGGAGAGGAUGGUAGAAUUCCAGGUGUAGCGGUGAAAUGCGUAGAGAUCUGGAGGAAUACCGAUGGCGAAAGCAGCCAUCUGGCCUAAUACUGACGCUGAGGUACGAAAGCAUGGGGAGCAAACAGGAUUAGAUACCCCUGUAGUCCCUGUCUCUUAUAA